RNAcentral lists this ribosomal RNA (163 nucleotides) under uncultured bacterium. RNAcentral's name for it is "partial 16S ribosomal RNA". It matches the Rfam family "Bacterial small subunit ribosomal RNA", at positions 330 to 509 of the family's 1533-position model. The record is from RNAcentral.
AGCGAGUUCCUACGGGGGCAGCAGUGGGGAAUAUUGGGCAAUGGGCGCAAGCCUGACCCAGCAACGCCGCGUGAAGGAAGAAGGCUUUCGGGUUGUAAACUUCUUUUAAGAGGGAAGAGUAGAAGACGGUACCUCUUGAAUAAGCCACGGCUAACUACGUGCC